UUCCAGACUCCUACGGGAGGCAGCAGUGGGGGAUAUUGGACAAUGGGGGGAACCCUGAUCCAGCGACGCCGCGUGAGUGAAGAAGUAUCUCGGUAUGUAAAGCUCUAUCAGCAGGGAAGAAAGAAAUGACGGUACCUGAUUAAGAAGCCCCGGCUAACUACGUGCCAGCAGCCGCGGUAAUACGUAGGGGGCAAGCGUUAUCCGGAUUUACUGGGUGUAAAGGGAGCGUAGACGGCAGCACAAGUCUGGAGUGAAAUGCCGGGGCUUAACCCCGGAACUGCUUUGGAAACUGUGCAGCUAGAGUGCAGGAGAGGUAAGUGGAAUUCCUAGUGUAGCGGUGAAAUGCGUAGAUAUUAGGAGGAACACCAGUGGCGAAGGCGGCUUACUGGACUGUAACUGACGUUGAGGCUCGAAAGCGUGGGGAGCAAACAGGAUUAGAUACCCUUGUAAG
Molecule: ribosomal RNA, 451 nt
Filed under: uncultured bacterium
Lineage: Bacteria
Description: bacterial SSU rRNA
Rfam family: Bacterial small subunit ribosomal RNA
Source: RNAcentral